RNAcentral lists this ribosomal RNA (510 nucleotides) under uncultured bacterium. Its description in RNAcentral is "partial 16S ribosomal RNA". It matches the Rfam family "Bacterial small subunit ribosomal RNA", at positions 28 to 507 of the family's 1533-position model. The record is from RNAcentral.
GACGAACGCUGGCGGCGUGCUUAACACAUGCAAGUCGAACGAAGAGCGAUGGAAGCUUGCUUCUAUCACUCUUAGUGGCGAACGGGUGAGUAACGCGUAAUCAACCUGCCCUUCAGAGGGGGACAACAGUUGGAAACGACUGCUAAUACCGCAUACGAUCUAAUCUCGGCAUCGAGGAUAGAUGAAAGGUGGCCUCUACAUGUAAGCUAUCACUGAAGGAGGGGAUUGCGUCUGAUUAGCUAGUUGGAGGGGUAACGGCCCACCAAGGCGAUGAUCAGUAGCCGGUCUGAGAGGAUGACCGGCCACAUUGGGACUGAGACACGGCCCAGACUCCUACGGGAGGCAGCAGUGGGGAAUCUUCCGCAAUAGACGAAAGUCUGACGGAGCAACGCCGCGUGAGUGAUGACGGCCGUCGGGUUGUAAAGCUCUGUUAAUCGGGACGAAAGGCCUUCUUGCGAAUAGGGAGAAGGAUUGACGGUACCGGAAUAGAAAGCCACGGCUAACUACGUG